CUGGUCCAAUAAGGGGGGCAACAUAUAAGGUGUCAGGGUAAGCCGGGUUCUUGACGCUGGUGGACGCCCACAAUAGCCUCUGCUUCUUGGCACCCUUUUUCACCAGAGCCUCCCAUCUGGGUCCGCUGAAUUUCUUUUGGGGUGUUUCAUUAUGUAUCAUAUUCACCUUUCCUCGGAGAUCAAGGGCCUCUGGUGUUCCAAUCUUCUCAAGCAUCUUGUCAACCAGUGUGUCCACCCGACUUACAAAGAAAGAAGCAACACUUGUAACUCUGGAGAGGUCACUUAGCCCAGAGGCCUCAAGGCCAUCCAAGUAAGCAUCAAUUACAGCUUCAUAUCUAGCGAGAGAGAAUAUGAGCUGUACAAAGACAUUAAAGAAAGCUUAGGAGCAUUUCUAGACUGCUCAUAAAUUCUCACCAACACACACGAGUUCAAUUUUACUGCUAAUGUACUUAGACGACAACAGAUUAAAGCCUUUAAUUCCACUAGAUGAGGUUGGCUCCAUAAAUUCUCAUCAAUCAUUUCUGCAGAGGAAAACAAAACUGCUAUACAAAAGGGCUAAUUUCAUGAACUUAUCCUAAAGGUGUUCACACCAAAGUCAAAGCCUGCCAGUUCAGAUCAGCUUGUUGACAAAUAUAUAACCCAUCAAAACAAAAUUACCCAAACAAGAAAGCAUCAAUCACUUUCACAUCAAAAUAUAUUAAUCUCUCAAUAGUUAAGAGGGAAAAGUAAGGUCUGUGGCUUGUCCAAAACAUCUGUGUACUCGAUGUCCAGCAACCAGGAAAGACCUUUUGUCAGGAAAAUGGUGUAAAAAAUAACAACCACCUGUGAGUCUUGUGGCUUGAGCUACCAAGAUUGUACCUAACACAAAUUUACAAAACCAUGUUGAUAAAAUAAAACCAAAAGAAAACAGGAUUCAUGACCUUUUAAACCUCCUCUUUCCAUUCUACUCCUAGCAUAUUUGGUCUAAUCAAGUCUAAUAUAUAUAUACAAUGUUGAAUAUGGAGUCCAAUAAUUUUACAUCCAUUUAAACAUCGCUGAACUGUGAGACCUCCAAUGCACAAAUGCUUCCUCCUCAUUCUUGAUCCUCUUCCAUUGUCUGGAGGAAAUUAUAGAACAAAAAAUGGCAAUAACUGAAGGAAUUAGAAGCCUUGACGACUAGAAGGCAAUAAAAAUUUGAGUUAGUGAUUGUAGGAUAUAUCGUUUAUUAUGCUGUCUUCUCUAUUAGUAGUUCAUAUAUUCUCCCCUUUAUCCUCAACACAGCUCCUGAAGAAGGCCAGCAAUGUCUGCAGGAUUGGGUUGUCUUCUUCAGCAACUUUUUCGCUUUCCAUUCUCUCCACAUAUAAGGAAUUGAUGCCUACUAAUGGUAUAAUGUUCCUCUGAUUCCCAACCUUAGGAUGGUGAUACACCUCAUUCCAGUCUGUCAAGGAAUGCUAUUGUUACCCAUGCAACAAAAAGACUUAUGUCACUCCUUAGGACAGUAUAAUGGAACUUCCUUUAAAGAAUAGUCACUCCUUGAAUUCAGUAUAGCUGAAUACACACAUAUAGUCAGAGAUAACAAAAGACCUAUGUCAAUCACCCUACCAGUAGAUGGAUGAAAGCAUCAAUACAUAGCUUUUUUACGGCCAUAUUUGUAAUGGGAUCAUACCUUUUCUGUGCAAUACAAACGUUUUAGGAAAAAGGUAUUGCAAAAAUUCAAAAACCAGAACAUGGAUCUGUGUAAUUUCAGUCAUGCUUGCGAUCUUUUCCUCAAAGAGAAAACAAGCAGAACCAUUAAUCAUAACAUAAUAUAUCUGAGGCUAGAUCAUCAUCCUCCUAUCAUUACCAAUCCCACAUUGAUAGUGUACUACGGAGGCUUAGAUAUAUCAGUUGAUCUAGUGUCCUGUAGUUGGUGUAACACCUACCGCCCCUGCAGUUGAUUCCCAACUACAACAAUGUGAUUGCUCUUGUGGAGUAACCUCACUAAUUAAUGUUGCAAUCUGGUUAUCUAAUCCCAACAUUACAAACAAAAAAAUAUAAGUGAAAAAUAGACAGUAAAAGAAAUCAAGACACUGGAAUCAAUUCUUUGGAUCAUUCUGUAAAUCCAAACUUAAUUCAAGUUUACAGUGAACUGAGAGAAGGUAAUAACUAAGCACGCUAUAAGAAAAAUCAAUGCCAUUAUUGAAAAAAACUAAUCCUUUUACACUUAAGAGACAUAGAAGCAUAAAAAAUGUAAAGAAUCAACUUACAGUAACAUUGACGCUUAUACCCAGUGAAAUAACUUCCUUAAUUGAGGGGAUGCAUUUGGCUGUGGCAGGGAUCUUUAUAUAGACAUUUGGGCGAUCAACCACUUUGUGAAGCCAUUUUGCUGCCUCAACAGUUCCCUCAGUAUCAUCAGCCAGCCUGGGAGAAACUUCAACAGAGACAUACCCAUCACCUCCAUCUGUUUGAUCAUAGAUUGGCUCAAAAAGUUUGCACGCAUCUUGGAUGUCCUUCACCACAAGUUCCCAAUAUGCACUUUCAAUAUCUUUUCCUGCUUCUGCAAGUUCUCUGCAAAUCCAACCAUUUAAGGCAGUUCAAGGGAUUGUGGCCUCCAACGCUCAAGGCUGGGCCUAUUGUGAGCUUAUGGAGGAUGAGAUAACCCAGUGAAGGGAGCGCAAGGUCUCAUGAGAUGGAAAGCGUCAGGAACUUAGGGGUCGACUGAGGUGGAUGGAGGCUGAGAAUGAGAGGUUGUGUGCCCAGCUGUCAGAGGCUCAGGUCGGCACCUCAGGCCUAUAUAGGGAGGUUCAGGAGCUUCGCCAAGGCCAGCUGGCUUGGGAACAAAAGUAUGGCGAGCUGCAGUCCACACAUGAGGACCUUCUUCAGGAGCACUCGCUGCGAGUAGCUGAAUUAACGGAAUGUUGGGAAUGGGCCUACAACUUCAUUGUUGGUAAGUUUCUUUAUAUUGUGAUUUAUCUUGGAUAAUUCACGCAGGCAAUUAUUGAGCCCAAGUUAAUCUCAUAAUCCGCUCUUAAUUAUUAAUAUCAUGAAGAAAUUAUAUAAUCAACAGUACCUGAACUGUUCAUUGUAAGCAUCUGAAGUUGAUAUGGCUUUCUGGAAAAUCUGCAAUGAUAAU
This is a long non-coding RNA of Diospyros lotus (date-plum), 3091 nucleotides long. RefSeq lists it as uncharacterized. Lineage: Eukaryota; Viridiplantae; Streptophyta; Magnoliopsida; Ericales; Ebenaceae. The record is from RefSeq and is a predicted model, not a curated record. The transcript is spliced from 3 exons.